AGUUUGAUCCUGGCUCAGGACGAACGCUGGCGGCACGCUUAACACAUGCAAGUCGAACGAGAGAAGAGAAGCUUGCUUUUCUGAUCUAGUGGCGGACGGGUGAGUAACACGUGAGCAAUCUGCCUUUCAGAGGGGGAUACCGAUUGGAAACGAUCGUUAAUACCGCAUAACAUAAUUGAACCGCAUGAUUUGAUUAUCAAAGAUUUAUCGCUGAAAGAUGAGCUCGCGUCUGAUUAGCUAGUUGGUAAGGUAACGGCUUACCAAGGCGACGAUCAGUAGCCGGACUGAGAGGUUGAUCGGCCACAUUGGGACUGAGACACGGCCCAGACUCCUACGGGAGGCAGCAGUGGGGAAUAUUGCACAAUGGAGGAAACUCUGAUGCAGCGAUGCCGCGUGAGGGAAGAAGGUUUUAGGAUUGUAAACCUCUGUCUUCAGGGACGAAAAAUGACGGUACCUGAGGAGGAAGCUCCGGCUAACUACGUGCCAGCAGCCGCGGUAAUACGUAGGGAGCGAGCGUUGUCCGGAAUUACUGGGUGUAAAGGGAGCGUAGGCGGGAUCGCAAGUCAGAUGUGAAAACUAUGGGCUUAACCCAUAAACUGCAUUUGAAACUGUGGUUCUUGAGUGAAGUAGAGGUAAGCGGAAUUCCUAGUGUAGCGGUGAAAUGCGUAGAUAUUAGGAGGAACAUCAGUGGCGAAGGCGGCUUACUGGGCUUUAACUGACGCUGAGGCUCGAAAGCGUGGGGAGCAAACAGGAUUAGAUACCCUGGUAGUCCACGCCGUAAACGAUGAUUACUAGGUGUGGGGGGACUGACCCCUUCCGUGCCGCAGCAAACGCAAUAAGUAAUCCACCUGGGGAGUACGACCGCAAGGUUGAAACUCAAAUGAAUUGACGGA
This 893-nucleotide ribosomal RNA is filed under the name uncultured bacterium. Its description in RNAcentral is "bacterial SSU rRNA". It matches the Rfam family "Bacterial small subunit ribosomal RNA", at positions 10 to 917 of the family's 1533-position model. The record is from RNAcentral.